RNAcentral lists this ribosomal RNA (253 nucleotides) under uncultured bacterium. Its description in RNAcentral is "partial 16S ribosomal RNA". It matches the Rfam family "Bacterial small subunit ribosomal RNA", at positions 524 to 776 of the family's 1533-position model. The record is from RNAcentral.
UACGUAGGGGGCAAGCGUUGUCCGGAAUCAUUGGGCGUAAAGCGCGUGUAGGCGGCUUGGUAAGUCUGCUCUGAAAGCCCGGGGCUCAACCCCGGGAGGCGGGUGGAUACUGUCAAGCUCGAGUCCGGAAGAGGAGUGUGGAAUUCCUGGUGUAGCGGUGAAAUGCGCAGAUAUCAGGAGGAAUACCAGUGGCGAAGGCGGCCUUCUGGACUGACACUGACGCUGAGGCGCGAAAGCCAGGGGAGCAAACGGG